GUCAAGUCAUCAUGGCCUUUAUGCCCAGGGCUACACACGUGCUACAAUGGGGCGUACAAAGGGUUGCGACAUAGUGAUAUGAAGCUAAUCCCAAAAAGCGCCUCUCAGUUCGGAUUGUAGUCUGCAACUCGACUACAUGAAGCUGGAAUCGCUAGUAAUCGCGCAUCAGCAAUGGCGCGGUGAAUACGUUCCCGGACCUU
This 200-nucleotide ribosomal RNA is filed under the name uncultured organism. RNAcentral's name for it is "partial small subunit ribosomal RNA". It matches the Rfam family "Bacterial small subunit ribosomal RNA", at positions 1184 to 1382 of the family's 1533-position model. The record is from RNAcentral.